This is a long non-coding RNA of Canis lupus familiaris (dog), 881 nucleotides long. RefSeq lists it as uncharacterized. Lineage: Eukaryota; Metazoa; Chordata; Mammalia; Carnivora; Canidae. The transcript has 2 exons. The record is from RefSeq and is a predicted model, not a curated record.
UGGAAACUAGCCUCUGAGAUCUGCAUGCAAGAGAAGAGCAAAGAGAAGCUCUUACUGGCAACACAUGCUCCUGGGAAUACCAGCUCUGGGGGAGCAAAGACAGGACUGAGUAGAGGGAAAAGGGGGGUGUGCUGCAGGCACAACGAGGGCCUUGGCAGAACCCAGAAGGAACUCUGGAGCUGACGGGACACUUGGAGUUAUUCCAAAAUGAGGAACAGGGGCUGGACCUGUCCACCUCCACCUGGAUCAGUCAUUGGAUGUGGGCUGACCUGGGAAAGGAAUGUCACUUGGCCAAAACCACUUGUCUCAGCUGAGGGUAGGGCUUGAAGCUCCUUCUCCAGAAGCGUCCCCUGAGGACUUCAGACCCAGGAGCUUGCCCCCUGUAUACUGGGGCACAGGAUUGUGGAUUGCCCAUGGAUUGCCCUCUGUAACCUGCUUCACUCCUACUAAACUUCACGUCUUCGUCUUUCAUGUUUGGAACUGGAGUGCUGGAGACAGAUUGGACGGUGAACUGACAUAGGCAGGAACUGCCUUAGGAAUGCUGGGGUCAGGAGGGCGCGCAGAGGGAUGAGGGCAGGGCCCCAAGGGCCAUGGUCUGGCCAUGCACCAGGAUGUCUGACCCAAUGCAGUGUGGAAAGAGGGCCAGAGGUGAUCUCUCCAGACAGAGUACUUACUCCAUUCUCUACUCUGACAAGUCCUGGGAAGGUUUAUUUUAUCAAGAGGGAGAAAGAGCUAUAUGAAAAUAAGAAAAAAAUAGCCAGAGCUUUAUGCCCUUGGUAUCUUAAUAAUUAAGAUAAAGAAGACAGAAUAGACAUUGCAUGUACAAUGCUUUGGCCAAUCUUUUUAAAGGAGCAACAAAUAAAUGUGAUCUACAGGGCAAA